This 484-nucleotide ribosomal RNA is filed under the name uncultured bacterium. RNAcentral's name for it is "partial 16S ribosomal RNA". It matches the Rfam family "Bacterial small subunit ribosomal RNA", at positions 29 to 507 of the family's 1533-position model. The record is from RNAcentral.
AUUGAACGCUGGCGGCAUGCUUUACACAUGCGAGUCGAACGGCAGCGCGGGCUUCGGCCUGGCGGCGAGUGGCGAACGGGUGAGUAAUACAUCGGAACGUGCCCAGUAGUGGGGGAUAGCUCGGCGAAAGCCGGAUUAAUACCGCAUACGACCUGAGGGUGAAAGCGGGGGAUCUUCGGACCUCGCGCUAUUGGAGCGGCCGAUGGCAGAUUAGCUAGUUGGUGGGGUAAAGGCCUACCAAGGCGACGAUCUGUAGCUGGCCUGAGAGGACGACCAGCCACACUGGGACUGAGACACGGCCCAGACUCCUACGGGAGGCAGCAGUGGGGAAUUUUGGACAAUGGGCGAAAGCCUGAUCCAGCAAUGCCGCGUGUGUGAUGAAGGCCUUCGGGUUGUAAAGCACUUUUGGCGGGAACGAAAAGGACUGUGCCAAUACCACGGUUCGAUGACGGUACCCGCAGAAUAAGCACCGGCUAACUACGUG